This 468-nucleotide ribosomal RNA is filed under the name uncultured bacterium. RNAcentral's name for it is "partial 16S ribosomal RNA". It matches the Rfam family "Bacterial small subunit ribosomal RNA", at positions 28 to 507 of the family's 1533-position model. The record is from RNAcentral.
GACGAACGCUGGCGGCGUGCUUAACACAUGCAAGUCGAACGGAAAGGCCCUGCUUUUGUGGGGUGCUCGAGUGGCGAACGGGUGAGUAACACGUGAGUAACCUGCCCUUGACUUUGGGAUAACUUCAGGAAACUGGGGCUAAUACCGGAUAGGAGCUCCUGCUGCAUGGUGGGGGUUGGAAAGUUUCGGCGGUUGGGGAUGGACUCGCGGCUUAUCAGCUUGUUGGUGGGGUAGUGGCUUACCAAGGCUUUGACGGGUAGCCGGCCUGAGAGGGUGACGGGCCACAUUGGGACUGAGAUACGGCCAAGACUCCUACGGGAGGCAGCAGUGGGGAAUAUUGCAAAAUGGGCGGAACCCGGAUGCAGCAACGCCGCUUGCGGGUUAACGGCCUUCGGUUGGUAAACCGCUUUCGCCUGUGACGAAGCGUGAGUGACGGUAAUGGGUAAAGAAGCACCGGCUAACUACGUG